This is a long non-coding RNA of Ziziphus jujuba (common jujube), 1078 nucleotides long. RefSeq lists it as uncharacterized. The transcript is spliced from 3 exons. Lineage: Eukaryota; Viridiplantae; Streptophyta; Magnoliopsida; Rosales; Rhamnaceae. The record is from RefSeq and is a predicted model, not a curated record.
AAAAUAAAGGCCCAAGACCCAUUUACAAAUCAUUCAAAAUUUUGGCCCAAAUUACAACAGAAACUUCCUGAUUUGAUCAUCGCUAUCAGCUGCAAAGAUAUAGUCUCAUAAGCUUCUCUUCCUCCUAAGCAAGAGAGAAUAGUUUUCUUUCACCAUAUCAUCUUGGAAAGGGAAAAGUACCUCUUGAUCUGUGAUGAACUCAGAAUCCACCUUUCUUUGCUUUAUAUAUGACCACUAAAAACUCUGUCUCGGUAACUGACCUAUCGAUAAUAACAUGACAUGUCGUCGCACAAAAACUGCCAUGGAAGAAGGAGUUUUUAGGUAUUUGCAUAAAAGUUAACAAAUGGGUUCGCUCGGCCAUGACUUUAGCUCUCUCCAGAGAAUUUUCCAGCCCAGAAUCGUCAGCUAAAAGCGUUCGUACAUUUUCAGGGUCACCUAUUAUACUAUCCCAGAGGAACUUGAGGUUACAUCACAAUGGGAAGGUUUUUGAACUGUGACUUGGCCACUGAUUUUCAGUUGCUCCUAAGGGUUAUAAUAUUAGAAUUUUUUGGUGCCGAGAUGUUUUCCCAUGCAUCUAUAUGUUGUUUUUUAAUGCUCAAGACAAUAAUCGACCAGGAUGCAACAAUGAAGGAAAUCUAAUACUGCAUUUUCUGUCUUCCGGUUGUCAUAACUUUUGAUUUGCCUUUGAGAACUUUAUUGUCAAUGAGAUGGUUCUGCAUAAAUCUUUAUAUGUUGUUUAUUAUGUUAUUGCUCUCCUGGUUUCCAUCUUCAUGUGAUGAACACAUAACAGUUACUCACUCUUUCAUGUCUUUUUGAAGGAUUGGCCGGAGAAGAAUGCUAAUUAGAAAUAUGUUGGGCUUUAAUACCAGCAAAAAUUUUUCUGAUGUUGGUGUUGGUGUUUCUCAUGUUGUUUUAUUUUUGUUUUGCUUGAUGCUGUUAUAAAUGAAUUGUACAAUAUGAGUGGAAAGAAAUGGCUGCUUCAUGUAUUGUACAGCAUACAUUUUCGUGUGCUUGUGGAAAAUCCUUCUCAGAGAAGAAUUGGUUGAAAAACGGAUGAAUAAAGGUAUUCUUUAUACAA